This 463-nucleotide ribosomal RNA is filed under the name uncultured bacterium. RNAcentral's name for it is "partial 16S ribosomal RNA". It matches the Rfam family "Bacterial small subunit ribosomal RNA", at positions 28 to 507 of the family's 1533-position model. The record is from RNAcentral.
GACGAACGCUGGCGGCGUGCUUAACACAUGCAAGUCGAACGGAAAGGCCUUUUCGGCGGUACUCGAGUGGCGAACGGGUGAGUAACACGUGGGUGAUCUGCCCUGCACUCUGGGAUAAGCCUGGGAAACUGGGUCUAAUACCGGAUAGGACCGCACUUUAGUGUGUGUGGUGGAAAGUUUUUUCGGUGUAGGAUGAGCCCGCGGCCUAUCAGCUUGUUGGUGGGGUAAUGGCCUACCAAGGCGGCGACGGGUAGCCGGACUGAGAGGUUGGUCGGCCACAUUGGGACUGAGACACGGACCAGAAAGCUAAGGGAGAAAGAAGUGGGGAAUAUUGCACAAUGGGCGAAAGCAUGAUGCAGCGACGCCGCGUGGGGGAUGACGGCCUUCGGGUUGUAAACUCCUUGAGCCAGGGACGAAGCGUUUUGUGAAGGUACCUGGAGAAGAAGCACCGGCUAACUACGUG